Molecule: transfer RNA, 70 nt
Filed under: Myotis davidii
Lineage: Eukaryota; Metazoa; Chordata; Mammalia; Chiroptera; Vespertilionidae
Rfam family: tRNA
About the family: Transfer RNA (tRNA) molecules are approximately 80 nucleotides in length.
Source: Rfam by way of RNAcentral
GUCUAAAUAAUAUAAUGGUAAGGACAAAAACCUUCUAAGUUUUUUAUGUAGGUUCAAUUCCUACUAGAUC